Molecule: ribosomal RNA, 430 nt
Filed under: Bacteroidota bacterium
Lineage: Bacteria; Pseudomonadati; Bacteroidota
Description: Bacteroidetes bacterium partial 16S ribosomal RNA
Rfam family: Bacterial small subunit ribosomal RNA
Source: RNAcentral
UAGGGAAUCUUCGGCAAUGGGGGGAACCCUGACCGAGCAACGCCGCGUGAGUGAAGAAGGUUUUCGGAUCGUAAAGCUCUGUUGUUAAGGAAGAACGAGUGUGAGAAUGGAAAGUUCAUACUGUGACGGUACUUAACCAGAAAGGGACGGCUAACUACGUGUCAGCAGCCGCGGUAAUACGUAGGUGGCAAGCGUUGUCCGGAUUUAUUGGGCGUAAAGCGAGCGCAGGCGGUCAAUUAAGUCUGAUGUGAAAGCCCCCGGCUCAACCGGGGAGGGUCAUUGGAAACUGGUUGACUUGAGUGCAGAAGAGGAGAGUGGAAUUCCAUGUGUAGCGGUGAAAUGCGUAGAUAUAUGGAGGAACACCAGUGGCGAAGGCGACUCUCUGGUCUGUAACUGACGCUGAGGCUCGAAAGCGUGGGUAGCAAACAGG